CUCAAAACUGGCUUCCAACGGGACACAGACAUCAAAACAAAGAAGAGGGCCUCACGACAGGGUUGCCUUGCUUACUCAGCCCACAGCUCUCAAACCGUUGCGCGAGGAAGAGCACGCAGGAGAACAGGUGCAGGAGCCAGAGCAAGACAUUUAGGCACUGACGGGAACAAAACUCUGCAGCCCUGUGGCAGUGUCUAAGGAGGAUGCAUGCAUUAUUCUCCACGACUGAUACAGAAGUAAAUUCCAGAAAGCUUUAAAGUCAGUUUGUAUAAAGAGGUGAGAUACAACCCCAAAUCACAUGGCUCCAAGUCAGGGUUAUUUCUGUGGAGUCA
RNAcentral lists this long non-coding RNA (332 nucleotides) under Homo sapiens (human). RNAcentral's name for it is "non-protein coding lnc-BHLHE22-9:3". The record is from RNAcentral. Lineage: Eukaryota; Metazoa; Chordata; Mammalia; Primates; Hominidae.